GAAUUUUAUAAAAUUAUUUUAAAAAUUUAUAAUAAUUUUAUUUAAUUGGGAGGAUUUUUAAAUUUAAAUAACUUUAAAUAUUUACUGAUAACAUUAAUUUAUGAUAUUUAAAAUUAAUAAAUAUUAUUUAAAUAAAAAUUAAUUACCUUAGGGAUAACAGCAUAAAAUUUUUUUGUAGAUCAUAUAUAUUAAAAUAUUUGU
RNAcentral lists this ribosomal RNA (201 nucleotides) under Odontomachus haematodus. RNAcentral's name for it is "partial large subunit ribosomal RNA". Lineage: Eukaryota; Metazoa; Arthropoda; Insecta; Hymenoptera; Formicidae. The record is from RNAcentral.